CAGAGAUCAGCAAACUGCUGGAUGAUGCAUUAACUGGGGGAGGAGGGACAGUCACAAGGAAAGAAGUCUGGCAAGGAGGCUGGGGAAAUACCGACAUUGAUGGAGAUAACAUAAAACUCAUUAUACGCCACUACAAUGAGGACAUCGAUGACAAUCUGGGUAAUGGAAAAAUACCACCCGGGCUUGCUGCCCGGGGCAACAGGCCACAUGGACAUCAUCCCGAAUGUGGGGCUGAGCUCAACUUUGGAAGAAUAGUUCCAAGUUCAUCCCAGCCAGACACUCCAGCCAGACCAGACAUCUCACAUUCCAUGCCGAGUCCUGCCCUGGGGCACUUGUUUCUGCUGUUCCUCCCAUCAGGAUGUCCCUCUCUCCUAGGCAUUGAACCCUUACCCCUGAGCGCUUAACUCCUAGAUUUUCUUUGAGGCCCCUGUCAAGAUGGAGUUCUUUUGGGGAAGCUUUCCUGGAAAAGCCCAUAGUCAUGUAGUUUCUCCCCUUACUCUAUCUGCUUUCAGAUUUCCUCCUUCAAAUCAACUGCACCUUUUCUUAAUUAUGUUGGGGGCUGUCUGGACACUGCUCCAGAGCUUUCCAUAUACAGCCUUACACCAUGCUUCUCGCUCCUGCUGGACUGUCAGUUCCACAGAGGUAGGACCUCCUCUGUAUGCACCCUUCGCAUAAUUCAGUGCAUUUAGUUUGGGGUUCUGCAUCCCACCAAAGCUUUCUAAUUGCAUUUGAGCAGGAAUGGAGAAUUUUGACAUUUUCUCUAUACCAGGAGGGAUUGUCUGCCUCAGGAAAUAGGUACAGGUACAAGGAGCUCAGUGCUAUGA
Molecule: long non-coding RNA, 824 nt
Organism: Urocitellus parryii (Arctic ground squirrel)
Lineage: Eukaryota; Metazoa; Chordata; Mammalia; Rodentia; Sciuridae
Source: RefSeq, a predicted model, not a curated record